UCAAUGAAAUUUAAAUAGCCGCAAUAUACUUGUGCUAAGGUAGCAUAAUCAUUUGUCUUUUAAUUAAAGACUGGAACAAAAGAUUUAACAUUUUUAUUUCUUUUUUAACAAUAUUAUAUAUAAUUUAUAUUAAAUAUAAAAAUAUAUUUAUAAUUUAAAAAGACGACAAGACCCUAUUGAACUUAACUAAAGUUUAACUGGGGCAGUUAAUUAAACACAAUUUUAAUUUAAAUUUAUCAAACAUCUAAUAUAAUUAAAUACAUCAAGUUACCAUAGGGAUAACAGCGUAAUAAUUUUCUAUAGAUCUUAUUUAAAAAAUAUUUUGCGACCUCGAUGUUGAAUUAAUAAUCUAUUAAAUGCAAUAAUUUAAUAAGAAAGUC
This 380-nucleotide ribosomal RNA is filed under the name Pireneitega spinivulva. Its description in RNAcentral is "partial large subunit ribosomal RNA". Lineage: Eukaryota; Metazoa; Arthropoda; Arachnida; Araneae; Agelenidae. The record is from RNAcentral.